AGCCGGUUUGGUAAAUUUGUGGGUAAAUCAACCAGCUUAACUGGUUGAAUUCCGGGGAGACUGCUAAACUUGGGACCGGGAGAGGUUGGGGGGACUUGGGGGGUAGGGGUAAAAUGCUGGAAUCCUGAAGGGACCACCCGUUGCGAAGGCGUCUAAUCGUAACGGAUCCGACGGGGAGGAACGAAACCCUGGGGCACAAACCGGAUUAAAUACCCCGGUAGUCCUGGGGGUAAACGCUGGUGACUUGGUGUUGGGGAUCCUACGAGGGUCCCCCGUGCUGGAGCGAAAGUGUUAAGUCCCCCGCCUGGGGAGUACGGUCGCAAGGCUGAAACUUAAAGGAAUUGGC
RNAcentral lists this ribosomal RNA (346 nucleotides) under uncultured archaeon. Its description in RNAcentral is "partial 16S ribosomal RNA". It matches the Rfam family "Archaeal small subunit ribosomal RNA", at positions 523 to 869 of the family's 1478-position model. The record is from RNAcentral.